Urocitellus parryii (Arctic ground squirrel) is the source of this 2837-nucleotide long non-coding RNA. Lineage: Eukaryota; Metazoa; Chordata; Mammalia; Rodentia; Sciuridae. The record is from Ensembl.
UUCCCUACGUUGAAAACGUUCUGAAGUUUGUCUCUUGUUCAAGUUCAGGGGUCCGCACGGCUGUGUGGCUGCGCGCAGAAGCCGAGCUAUUUCAUUGCUGGAUACGGAUUUAGCUGAGUCCCCUGCACCCUACUUCACCCUCCGGGAACGUGCGGGAAAGCGUGCUGGGGGUUCAGCUCUGCUUCACAGGGGCGGUCUCUUUAGGGGUGGAAAGAGGGUGCAACUCAGCGUCUAGAUGGGACUGAGCAUUCCGGAAAUCAGAAAUUCGGGGAACCGGGAGUUCGCCUGCGCCCGACUCCCGCCCCCGCGCAACGUGCGCACCUCCCCACCCCCAGCACACACUAUAGCACUCCUUCCGCCCUGAUUUGCCUCCGGGAAAACAAGUCGGGAGAGCUGGGGGCACUCGCCCAAAAUCACCCUGGAGAACCCGGAGUCUGGAAUAGAAGCAUGCUUGUAUCUCUCCACUCCCUGUCUGGUGGUGGGCCCAUAUUCUAUGCAGCCUCUAGGAAGCGCUAGACCCAUGGUGUCAGCCCUGAAGACCCUUCCAGUCACAACAUCAGCUCACUUUCCCAAUUUUCUGGAUGAUGUGUAGAAGAGUCUGCCUCGGGUCCAGAUGUGUCUCUGCUUCAUCAGAAGGAAAGGUGUCUUUCACCAACCAGAGGCCAAGCAUCAAGAAGGCAGAAGAAAGUAUCUCUUGGUCUUCACUGAGUCUACAGCAUCUAGCAUGGCACAGAGAGUGUGCUCAGUCAAUCUGGGUUAUUCAUCAGAGGUUUUUGUCAAGGAGAAGUUCAGAACUGUACAUCACCCUUAUGGGCAUGCCUAGACUGCACUCAAAAUUUUCACAAAACUUUCAGGAUUAUAAAGUAGCCAGAGUCCUUCUGGGUGAUCUUCCAAGACCUGUCCUUCUCCCAGUGAAGGACCUCCUUUGGCAGCAUCUUGGCUACUUAAAUAUUGUAGCCACAGAGUGAGGACAUGAUGCCCAGAGAGCAGUAGUAGUAAUUCUACUUAGUGCUGUUGGCUGGACACCUUCAGGAAUACUGUGGGUAUGACACUUGGAGAGCAAUGUUGGCCAACCAUAGAGAUCUGAAGGUAGGAUGGCUACACCAUAAGAGACCUGAAACCAUGCUCCAUCGGAAAGAACUGAAAGAACUGGGAUUAUUCAGGGAGUCAUGGGGUAGGGAUGGUGGGGACAAGACAGAACAUAUAGGAGUCUCCAAAUAAGGGGAGUUGACUUACUCUGUAGGCUUUGAGGUCAGAGCUAGAGUAAUGUUAGAAGUUAGAGAAGACAGCUGCUAUAUUUAAGGAAGAACUUGCUGAAAUUAGUUAUUUAUCAAUAGGACAAUUACUUUAACUGUAGAAUUGAAGUCCCUCCACUCAACACAUAUUUAUUGUCUUCUAUGUUCCAGACACUCUGUAAAGUUAGUUUAUGAUAAUUCCUAGCAAGCACAUAGUACUUGUGGUAAUCAUCACUUAUUUUCACAGUUCAUAAAAGCCAUCUUAAGUAGUCUCAUUUAGAAUUUGGAGUUCGUCUCCAACAUUAGUGGUUUCUCAAUUCUAGAAUUACACAUUUUUACUCACAAAAUUUGUAAACUGYAUUGAUGUUUUCUCAUGUCCAAUGUUAGUUAUAUGGACAUUCUUCUAUCAAAACAAGUGUUUUCAGUAUCAUAAAUCAAAAUUACCUAUACUUUAUCCACUGUCWUUAUUGCUUCCAUAUUUGAGGGUCACUUGGGACGAUGAGAUACUCCCUUACUGUUCUGGUAGAAGAACUAUAAAGUAUCCACCAAGCCCCURCCCUUUUGUGCCUUGGUACACAGCUAGACUGCAUUUCCUGGCUCCUUUGUAAGUAGGUGUUCCUGAGUUUUAAACAUUGCAAAGAGGGUCAGUAGGAUGUGCGUCACAGGCCUGGUUCAUAAAACCAUCUCUCCCUAUCUCCUGAUAAGGGACUCCAAGGUCAUAUACAGGGAUACAGCCACAGAGAGAAGGAGCCUGGAUCUCUGAAAGAAGGUCGUCUAACACCCAGAAAUAGGGUUUGGACUUGGAAUGAGAAAUCAACUUUAUUGUGUAGAUGGACUGAGAUUUGGGAUAUUUGUUAGAGCUGCCAAUGUCAUCUUACUGUAGUUGGUGCUGCAGGAUAACCUCAGUGAGGGAUCACAGAUCCAAAGUAGGGGUUUUGUCCCAGUUUGAAGAGAAUUAAUGGAGAAGACAGAGUAAAGCAGAUGGCACUUAAUUGCAUAUGGAGGCUUCCUUUUGCUAAUAUUUUCUUCCCAUCUAAUUUAUAAACUUCAUGAGGCAUGUUAGUAUGUCUUAUGUCCUCGUAGAGUGAGUAUUUACUGAGAAAUACCUGGUGCUUUUGGGUUUUCAGAAAGAAUCCAGAGAGCACAUACUGUUAAACAUUCAUUAAUUCAACCGUAUGUGAGUAUUUACCAUAGAUCUGCCUCUGGUGAUCAUGGUAAACAGGAACUACAGGCCUGCCUACAAGUUGACAGAUAGCAAGGAAAGUGGGUAACCAGGAGGCAAGACUAUUCCAGUCUGAUAAUGCCAUGAUGUGACAGAGAGGAACAGGAUUCUCUGUCUGCACGUGGUAUCUAACAAGGGUAGAGACCAGAGAAUUGUUGUUAAGAAGGUGGUGAAAGUUUUAAACUGAGACUUCCAGGAUGAAUAGAAGUACCCAGAAGAAGUGGAGGUGGUGCAGAAAGAAAGAAUAAUCUAAGAAAAGUCAAGAUGUCAAUGAAUGGGCUGGGAUUGUGGCUCAGUGGUAGAGCACUUGCCUCACAUAUGUGAGGCACUGGGUUUGAAUCUCAGCACUGCAUAUAAAUAAAUAAAAUAAAGGUCCAUCA